Molecule: non-coding RNA, 149 nt
Organism: Bombyx mori (domestic silkworm)
Lineage: Eukaryota; Metazoa; Arthropoda; Insecta; Lepidoptera; Bombycidae
Source: RefSeq, marked provisional
GAUCUGAAAAAUUAUUAAUGAGGGCAGUACGGAUACCUAACCAGUUCUCUGGUAUGCCAUUUGAAUUUAUGGUCCUGGCGGCAGGACCAGUUAUUUUAUUUAAUAUACCAUUUAUUAAGCUGAGGUUAUUUAAUUCGUUGCCAGGAUCU